AAAAAAAACCGAAUUUCUGCAUUUAA
This 26-nucleotide non-coding RNA is filed under the name Cricetulus griseus (Chinese hamster). Lineage: Eukaryota; Metazoa; Chordata; Mammalia; Rodentia; Cricetidae. The record is from RNAcentral.